This 497-nucleotide ribosomal RNA is filed under the name uncultured bacterium. RNAcentral describes it as "partial 16S ribosomal RNA". It matches the Rfam family "Bacterial small subunit ribosomal RNA", at positions 28 to 507 of the family's 1533-position model. The record is from RNAcentral.
GAUGAACGCUGGCGGCGUGCCUAAUACAUGCAAGUCGAGCGAACGGACGAGAAGCUUGCUUCUCUUAUGUUAGCGGCGGACGGGUGAGUAACACGUGGACAACCUACCUAUUAGACUGGGAUAACUUCGGGAAAUCGGUGCUAAUACCGGAUAAUACUUUGAACCGCAUGGUUUAUCGUUGAAAGACGGUCCUGCUUUCACUUAUAGAUGGAUCCGCGGUGCAUUAGCUAGUUGGUAAGGUAACGGCUUACCAAGGCCACGAUGCGUAGCCGACCUGAGAGGGUGAUCGGCCACACUGGAACUGAGACACGGUCCAGACUCCUACGGGAGGCAGCAGUAGGGAAUCUUCCGCAAUGGGCGAAAGCCUGACGGAGCAACGCCGCGUGAGUGAUGAAGGCCUUCGGAUCGUAAAGCUCUGUUGUUAGGGAAGAACAAAUAUCGAAGUAACUGGGGUUACCGUGACGGUACCUAACGAGAAAGCCACGGCUAACUACGUG